RNAcentral lists this long non-coding RNA (1029 nucleotides) under Mus spicilegus (steppe mouse). Its description in RNAcentral is "lncRNA (ENSMSIG00000028090.1)". The record is from RNAcentral. Lineage: Eukaryota; Metazoa; Chordata; Mammalia; Rodentia; Muridae.
ACCUUUCAGCAAGUGCAUGAACCAUGAAGCACAGCUUUUCUAACACCAACAAGGCCUGAAUUAAAAGCAAAGAGGUACCUGCCGCAACAGAGGAAGAAAGAAGGCAGACCAUGGGAGUUUGCAACCAACACACUCCAGAUGGGACUUCGAUAAAAUCAUUGGCUGAUGCUGAUUGGAUGCCCUGUCCUGUGCCAUCUCUGACACGGGUUGAUCCUUGCCCAGUGCAAACAGAUGGGGGAUUGUCUCCAGUGUCAAUGAGCACACCAGUUGUUGGAAUAAAAGCAUGUACAGAGGAUGAAAAAAUCCACCAGGAUGUUCUGUGUUGGGAAUUAUUACUCAAGGAGCAACAAAACACAAUAAAAAUAAUUCACCAUGAACGAUUCCUCUAUGAAGUCUGUGAAUAACGUGGAAAAUGAUGGCGAUGUUUGUUAAGUGAAGAAAGUAGACCCUGGAAUUCCUUAUGUGAGGGAGGCUGCAGUGUUCGUGGUGGAGUACUGGUGUGGGCAGUCAGGAAGGUGGCCACCACCCCUCACCGUGGACCCGGGGUGAUUUGAAUUGAAGAAAUUGCACUUUAAAAAUUAAAAUGUUCUGUUACAUCUGGUUCUUAAAGAGCUUUAAAUACUAUUUAUUUUUAUAUUUUGUGUUCAGUGUUUUGCCUGCAUGGGUAUGUGUACCAUGUGUGCACCUGGUGCCUGCAGAGGUCAGAAGGAGCACAGGUUCCCAUGUCUUGGCAUUACAGAUGGUUGUAAGCGAUUGAUGGGUAUUGAAACUGGGACCUCAAAAAGAGCAUCUUUUAGCGCUUAGCUACUGAGACACCACUCCAGAACACCAGCAUAUCUUUAUAAUGAAAAUAAUUAGUAAGCAUGAUAACCCACAAGGUUGUCAGACAUUACGGAGAUGGGGAAAUAAGACUAUGCAUGAUCUUUAAGGUUUAACUUUGAAACAUCCUAGCAUUUUGUCUUGUUAUUUCCUGACUAGCCCUGUCUGUUUAACAAUAAAUUUCCUAAAACAUAAAGUCGUGAGGGAGUA